Molecule: non-coding RNA, 2584 nt
Organism: Oryzias latipes (Japanese medaka)
Lineage: Eukaryota; Metazoa; Chordata; Actinopteri; Beloniformes; Adrianichthyidae
Source: RefSeq, a predicted model, not a curated record
AGCCCCGCCCCUCAUUUGAGCGGUCUUUCGUCAGACGGACAGGUGCGCAUGCUCCACAUUUCAAAUGUUGGCGGACUUUGUUGACUGCAACGUGGAUCACAAAGGUAAGUUUUUUAGUGAAACAAACUUUGUACGUUCCUGUUGGCUCACUUACUUAAGCUAGUCCUCGUUUAAAGCAGCGGCGCGAGCAAAUGUUGUUUUCUUGCUAGCUAGCUAGCUAAGUUUACGAGCUAGCUAACGUUGCUAUAUCACUGUUUGUCCGUUUUGCCUGGAAAUGCCCCAUUAUACUUGAAGGCGUGUUUUUACCCAAGCAAAUUGUGGUAAAGUUCAUGCUUGAAGGAGUGAAUUUCAUGAUACAUGUUUUAGAAAAGAAAAAAAAGAGUUGUGCUUCCCGUCAUGUUGUCUCCCCUCCCCCGCCGUUUUUGCUGAAGCAACUACUUUGGACAACUGCAGGACACCUGGCCAUACAGGUGCAAAACAUGAGAUGGAUGGAUGUGAAGAUGAUCUAAGAUUAUGAGCUCCAGUGUUUUUCCCCCCAUCUUGACUUUUCACACUGGGAAUAGUUCUGGUCCACCAGUUGCUGUCCCAUUGACAGCUCCUGCCUGGAGGGCUGGAGGGCUCUGCACCACUGUGUGCCCAGGCCAGGGUGGUGGGUGUUGACCCCUCUUGGUGUGGAUGGCCCCCCAAACAUGUCUUUGUCUCAGGGUCAGCCCCUGUGGACCAUGUUGUGUAACUUGACAUAAAAAAGUGUCAUAUAAAUAUUGUUUAAAUUACACUAAAGUUGAGUAUACCUUCCUUUUUUUAUAGUGUGUAGAGACUAAAUAAAUCCACACUGAAAAAAAUUUGGAGUGUCAUUUACUUAAAAAAAUGCUUGUAAAUUUAACUCGGGCUAUUUUUAAGUAAAUAUUUACAAGGCCAAAACAUCAUUUUUGUCAGUGCAUGUUUCAUCUUUUGUUGUUACACAUAGACAACAAGCAGGUUCAUUAAAAAACUCACAAAAUACAGGCUAUUUGUUUAGAACUAACGCAUAAAUACUUAUUGGCUGUUGUUUGAAGUACCGUAAUUCUAUUGAACUGUUAACCUUUUCAGAUAAUUUUCACCUUUUUUAAUGCGUGUCUGGAGCUCCUUUUUUUUUUAUUUGGUCAAAUUCUUAAGUAGCAAUGCGGCAUAGACUGUUAAUUUUACUACUUUCAAGUGAUUUUCUUCUUGAAAUUAAUGCUCUUUCCGAUGCACACGAAAAUCAGGAUCAAUUAUGUCUUAAUAAGUAAAGCUGUCUAAUAAAAGAGUGAUAAAAUAAUAACUACAAUCUUCAUCUAUUUUGUUUUGGGCCAAAAAGUGAUACCCAGAUUAAAAUGAUCAGCAAUCAGUUUAAUGUUCUUAAUCCUUUUGCUCCAGUAAGCUGUGAAGAUAACAAGGCCCAGUCUGACAUUUCCGGAAUAAAGCAGGAGAUUCCUGGGUGAGAUCCGCAGCUGCUUGUUAGUGUUGCCUGCCAGGAAUAAGUGAGCUGCAGAGGGUGAAACGGGCAGAAUGAAGCUGCACUAAUGAGCUUCAUUAUCAGUCCAUGAUUUUAAGAGGCUUUCUUAGGAGGUCCGCCGGGAAAAUGAAUUAGCAAAAUUCAGAUUAGAAACCUCGCUGCUUCGCUUCUGUACUCUUUGAUGCAUCCGAAUAUGGAGAAGCUAAAGAAUGUUAAAAAAAUAACUAUAAUAAAAAAGGGGAGAAGUAUCACAGUGGUUGAGGUUAAACCAUUCAGAGUUAUUUCCAUCAUUAGUGUCUCACAACACAAACAAGAUCAAAGCUAAUCGGAUGAGAAAAUGCUCGUUUUGAUCAAGUUUUUUCUGCCUUUGUCCCCACAAAGUGUCUGUGCUUAUGGAUGAGUCAUACUCCUGUUUCUUCUCUUCUCCCUCCUCUGCUGCCUUCGCCUAUAUGUACCCCUCCCUUAAAGACUGCCCCCCCCUCACCGUUUCACACCACAGCAGUAGGUACUGAGCUCCGGAUCAGUGCUGCAUUAUCUACAUUACAGUCCUGUGAUCUAAUUGUUUUUUUAAUGCGGAGACUUUCUGGAGAUGAGUCACCACUUGGCCAGAAUCUGCUCAGACAUCACCCAAAAAUCGAAAUAACAAGCAGCAAACUCAAAUGAACGAGCACAUGUGGGGCUGCUCGUUCCUCUAGAACUUUUAUUAUUUUCCUUUUAUCGUCCUUCAGAGGCUCCAUUCUCAGGGAAAUUGGUGGCUUUGAUUGAGCGCUGUUACAUUCAAUCAGAGCCCUAUUAAAAACAAAAUUCCAACAUUUACUGCGGUUCAACAAACAAACACCAAUCAGUUUAUGUAACUCGGAUAACCUGCCAGGAGGAAAUUGCUGUGUGGGAUGAAAAAAAGUCCAUGAUCACCACAGAAACCACACAGAAGUCAGCUUUAGUUUUAUGAUGAUUUUAACUUAAUUGAGGUGAUUUUUCUUUUGUCGCUCGGCCAGAUUCAGCGCCAAGUUUUCCCAUGAUGCAUCUGCCUCUAUCAUUUCAAAAAAAGGAGAGAUGUUAGGGAUGCGAGAAAAUAUUUGUGUUACAGAAAAAUGUGCACGAAUAAGUCUA